This 514-nucleotide ribosomal RNA is filed under the name uncultured bacterium. RNAcentral describes it as "partial 16S ribosomal RNA". It matches the Rfam family "Bacterial small subunit ribosomal RNA", at positions 28 to 523 of the family's 1533-position model. The record is from RNAcentral.
GACGAACGCUGGCGGCAUGCCUAAUACAUGCAAGUCGAGCGAACAGAUGAAGUGCUUGCACUUCUGACGUUAGCGGCGAACGGGUGAGUAACACGUGGGUAACCUACCUAUAAGACUGGGAUAACUCCGGGAAACCGGGGCUAAUACCGGAUAAUAUUUUGAACCGCAUGGUUCAAUAGUGAAAGACGGUUUCGGCUGUCACUUAUAGAUGGACCCGCGCCGUAUUAGCUAGUUGGUAAGGUAACGGCUUACCAAGGGGACGAUACGUAGCCGACCUGAGAGGGUGAUCGGCCACACUGGAACUGAGACACGGUCCAGACUCCUACGAGAGGCAGCAGUAGGGAAUCUUCCGCAAUGGGCGAAAGCCUGACGGAGCAACGCCGCGUGAGUGAUGAAGGUCUUCGGAUCGUAAAACUCUGUUGUUAGGGAAGAACAAAUUUGUUAGUAACUGAACAAGUCUUGACGGUACCUAACCAGAAAGCCACGGCUAACUACGUGCCAGCAGCCGCAGUAA